AGAAUCAACGCUGGCGGCGUGCCUAACACAUGCAAGUCGAUCGAGAAAGUGGAGCAAUCCAUGAGUAAAGAGGCGCACGGGUGAGUAACACGUGACUAACCUACCCUCGAGUGGGGAAUAACCUGGGGAAACCCGGGCUAAUACCGCAUAAUACCUACGGGUCAAAGGAGCAAUUCGCUUGAGGAGGGGGUCGCGGCAGAUUAGUUAGUUGGCGGGGUAAUGGCCCACCAAGACGAUGAUCUGUA
RNAcentral lists this ribosomal RNA (245 nucleotides) under uncultured bacterium. RNAcentral's name for it is "partial small subunit ribosomal RNA". It matches the Rfam family "Bacterial small subunit ribosomal RNA", at positions 26 to 285 of the family's 1533-position model. The record is from RNAcentral.